This 388-nucleotide ribosomal RNA is filed under the name uncultured Clostridium sp. RNAcentral describes it as "bacterial SSU rRNA". It matches the Rfam family "Bacterial small subunit ribosomal RNA", at positions 355 to 757 of the family's 1533-position model. Lineage: Bacteria; Bacillati; Bacillota; Clostridia; Eubacteriales; Clostridiaceae. The record is from RNAcentral.
UGGGGAAUAUUGGGCAAUGGGCGAAAGCCUGACCCAGCAACGCCGCGUGAAGGAAGAAGGUUUUCGGAUUGUAAACUUCUUUUAUCAGGGACGAAGAAAGUGACGGUACCUGAUGAAUAAGCCACGGCUAACUACGUGUCAGCAGCCGCGGUAAUACGUAGGUGGCAAGCGUUAUCCGGGUUUACUGGGUGUAAAGGGCGCGUAGGCGGGGAUGCAAGUCAGAUGUGAAAUCUAUGGGCUUAACCCAUAAACUGCAUUUGAAACUGUUAUUCUUGAGUACUGGAGAGGUUGACGGAAUUCCUAGUGUAGCGGUGAAAUGCGUAGAUAUUAGGAGGAACACCAGUGGCGAAGGCGGUCAACUGGACAGCAACUGACGCUGAGGCGCGAA